UGGGGAAUAUUGCACAAUGGGCGCAAGCCUGAUGCAGCAACGCCGCGUGAACGAUGAAGGUCUUCGGAUCGUAAAGUUCUGUUGCAGGGGAAGAUAAUGACGGUACCCUGUGAGGAAGCCCCGGCUAACUACGUGCCAGCAGCCGCGGUAAUACGUAGGGGGCUAGCGUUAUCCGGAUUUACUGGGCGUAAAGGGUGCGUAGGUGGUCUUUCAAGUCGGUGGUUAAAGGCUACGGCUCAACCGUAGUUAGCCUCCGAAACUGGAAGACUUGAGUGCAGGAGAGGAAAGUGGAAUUCCCAGUGUAGCGGUGAAAUGCGUAGAUAUUGGGAGGAACACCAGUAGCGAAGGCGGCUUUCUGGACUGCAACUGACACUGAGGCACGAAAGCGUGGGUAACAAACAGG
Molecule: ribosomal RNA, 403 nt
Filed under: Verrucomicrobiota bacterium
Lineage: Bacteria; Pseudomonadati; Verrucomicrobiota
Description: Verrucomicrobia bacterium partial 16S ribosomal RNA
Rfam family: Bacterial small subunit ribosomal RNA
Source: RNAcentral